Molecule: long non-coding RNA, 2100 nt
Filed under: Malus domestica (apple)
Lineage: Eukaryota; Viridiplantae; Streptophyta; Magnoliopsida; Rosales; Rosaceae
Description: long non-coding RNA (MDOM_LNC013759)
Source: RNAcentral
ACAAAACAUUCCCAUCACACACCAACUAGCCAUACGUGGAAAAAAUCUCAAUGAGUCGGAAACAUAUCUCAGUACAUUAGGAGUUCAUUUGGAAGUGUUUUUAAAAUGGUUGAAAGCGUUUAUAGUGAAAAUGUUUUUGGAAUCAAUUCUAAGGACUCGUUUGAAUGUACUUGUAAAAUGAUUGAAAGUAUUUUUAGAUAAAAUGUUUUUGGAUUGCAAAAGCACUUUAAAUGCUUUCUACAAGAAGCACAAUUUAUGUGCUUUCUUUCAAAAAGCACUUUAAAUGUUUUUCUAGGGUUUACUAGCAUUUUUACUAAGGAUAGUUUUCAAAAAUAUUUUCACCAAAAGUGCUUGCAGUUAUUUUAAAAGCACAUCCAAACGAAUUCUAAAUAAAAUACAAGUGAAUCCUGGAAAAUCACUUAAAGUGCUUCCUGCAAGAAACACGAGUUAUGUGCUUCUUACAAGUGCUUUUAGAAAUCAAAAAUAUUUUCGCUAAAAACACUUUCAAUCAUUUUAAAAGUAAUUUCAAACACACCCUAUAUGUCAUAACACAAGUGGUUAAUUUGUUUUUUCAAGUAUCUAACCACUUACAUUAUAACACUUAAAUAUACCGACAUGUGUUCUUGACACAUUAAAAUUUCUCCAUCCCAUACGUGCAACAAAUGACAAAACCAAUCACUCUAAUAAAAAUUAUACAAUAAAAUGGAUAUUAAUGCAGUAGUUCAAUUGAAUGUCAAACUUGUCCACUCCAAUAUUCAGUACACAUUACACAAUCACCAUAAACAUGAUUGUGACUCUAGGGUUGGUUGUAGAAAUGGUUUUUGAAUUUGCCUCUGAGCUUGAUUUUUUAUUUUGUUUUAUUUACCGACUAUUUAAGAGCAAAAUAGUCGUUAAUUCUAGGUCAUUUUUACUCCACCAUUGAAGAGAGGACAAUCGAAUAGCGUGGCCGUCGACGAGAAGAAGGGUGGGGGUGAUUUGUCUGAGAAGUAGGAACGACAACACGUUCUGAGGAGAAUGGUGACGGAGUUCAGGGCGAGUAACGGUAAGUUUGGGAUGCGGUAAUGGUCUGGGGAGGGGGAGUGAGUUGAUUGAAUUUAGUAGCAAAUGUUGGAUUGUAGAAUCUAAAAAAGAAUUUGAGAGGCUAAAAUGUAAUUCGGGUAUUAGUACUACGAUCUAGUAUUAUUUCUCUCUACUUGUAAGUGAAAAAUUUUAGGUUUGAAUCUUGAAAGUAACGAGUUAAUAACAACUUAAUUCCCUCGUAUUCUUAGUGUAAAUAUGUACAUAUAACAAAAUGUAAUUCUAAAAUUAAUUUAGUGACCAUUCUACAAUUCAUUAUAUCAUCAAUUUUGGAAUCCCUUUCUUGACUUAUGUGAAAAUCCAAACAAAUUUAAUCCCUCAAUUUUUUUUCAGAUUUUGGAAAGAAUGGCAUCAUUGAAUUCAAUAUCGUGAUAUGGGAGACUGAGUAAGCUAAAUUUGGAGUACUUUAAUGUCACACUAAAUAUGGUACCGACAAUAGACAUAGGCCAAAGUCAUAGGUUUAACGCAGACAAUAGUGAAUACUGAAUACUAGAUGGAAGGCGGCUUUAAAGUUUUCGGCGUACCAAAUUUUGAUACUAUUUUUAUAACUUGGCAGUGUACUCUUCUUUCUGUCCUCAAAUUUGAAUUAUUAUUAUUUAGUUAAAAUAAAUUUAGUGUAAAAUAUUGUUUUCUAAAAGAAAAAGGAAAAUAUCUAGAAAUAAGACAAUUUUUUAAUCUUGGGAUAGAAAUAGGACAUUUCGAAUAUGCACACGCUAUGCACAACAAUUGUACAGAAAUAUGAUUUUUUCUACACCUUGAAAUUACCAAAUUGUCCUCCUAUAUAAAUGAGUUAUCUAGAAAUUUCAGCCUUCAUUUCUCAUUUUGUAGAAAGAGAAAUAGAGAGGAGAGAGAGAGAUUGAGAAAAUCUCUUUUGCCCAAUUCCAGUUCGAAGAACUCCAACCCACCCAUCUUCUUCAUCCAAGAUCUCUCUCUUUGUCUCUCUCUCUCUCUCUCUCUCUCUCUCUCUCUCUCUCUCUUUCUCUCUUUCUCUCUCUCUCUCUCUCUCUCUCUCUCUCUCUCUCU